This 427-nucleotide ribosomal RNA is filed under the name uncultured beta proteobacterium. RNAcentral's name for it is "partial 16S ribosomal RNA". It matches the Rfam family "Bacterial small subunit ribosomal RNA", at positions 355 to 774 of the family's 1533-position model. The record is from RNAcentral. Lineage: Bacteria; Pseudomonadati; Pseudomonadota; Betaproteobacteria.
UGGGGAAUUUUGGACAAUGGGGGCAACCCUGAUCCAGCCAUUCCGCGUGAGUGAAGAAGGCCUUCGGGUUGUAAAGCUCUUUUGUCCGGGAAGAAACGGUUUUGGUUAAUACCCAAGACUACUGACGGUACCGGAAGAAUAAGGACCGGCUAACUACGUGCCAGCAGCCGCGGUAAUACGUAGGGUCCAAGCGUUAAUCGGAAUUACUGGGCGUAAAGCGUGCGCAGGCGGUUGUGUAAGCCAGAUGUGAAAUCCCCGGGCUUAACCUGGGAAUGGCAUUUGGGACUGCACGGCUAGAGUACGGCAGAGGGGACUAGAAUUCCUGGUGUAGCAGUGAAAUGCGUAGAUAUCAGGAGGAAUACCGAUGGCGAAGGCAGGUCCCUGGGCUGAUACUGACGCUCAUGCACGAAAGCGUGGGGAGCAAACA